Telopea speciosissima is the source of this 128-nucleotide long non-coding RNA. RefSeq lists it as uncharacterized. The transcript has 3 exons. The record is from RefSeq and is a predicted model, not a curated record. Lineage: Eukaryota; Viridiplantae; Streptophyta; Magnoliopsida; Proteales; Proteaceae.
ACCUUCCCAACACCUGGAGAUAACUCGCCAUUUGGUCCUGGACGUGGAAUGACUACAUUCACCAGAUUCCCUGCAGAAGCAAAAUUAAAAAGAAUUUUCAAGUAAUCCCAAACCAUCAACAUUAAAAU